RNAcentral lists this unclassified non-coding RNA (529 nucleotides) under Hevea brasiliensis (rubber tree). Lineage: Eukaryota; Viridiplantae; Streptophyta; Magnoliopsida; Malpighiales; Euphorbiaceae. The record is from RNAcentral.
AUUAGGGAUGCAAUUGGAUCUCCAUUACUAUCCUCUACCCUGAUGCCACCACAAGGGGUUGUAAUUGGGGAGGAGAGUUACCAUCAGAUAUAUGAAUUGUCUUUCACCAUUUACUUGGCUAGAGCUGCUCUAGUGUUCAAAUCAGAUGCUAUUCUGGCAUUAUAUGCAGGAAAUACAAAAUUUGCUCGUGGUCUGGAAACUUAUCUGUUAUCUAGGGACCAUUCUAAUCUGAGAUCAGAAUUUCAGCUCAGAAAUGGCAAGAUAACAAUUGAUUGCAUCGAAAAUCAGCCUGCUGUCAAUGUUGUACUAGGAGAACAUUUAUUUUUGACUGUUGGUGAUUACUUUCUGAGAACAAGGGAGGCGGAGUGAGAGCUGGUUGAAGCUGUCGGGAGCAUACUUGACGCUGAUUUUGUCUGGGUGACUUAGCGUGAGUUAAAAUGAUCGUGCAAACAGCCGUGAUUUGUGCAAACAGCCAUGAUUGAUUGAUGCAUGUUCUUGGGCCUGCACUCAUUCCUGGCUAGAGACGCGU